AUGAUAUGCCGGGAACUGAAAACACAUAUUAUAAAGUAAAAGGGAUGCACACUGCUGACCGAUACAUGAAUUUUGCUGUCACACUCAUUUAUUUCGUCACGACUAGGGCUGCUAUUAAUAGCAAGAAUUGGGUAUUGGGGAACGCAAUAAAUACAUUAUGCAGUUGGUUAUACAAAAAUUCGGUUACUCUUUAAUUUAUACACCAAUAAAUACGAUAUAACAUUCUAAAUUCCGCGUGAUAGACAAACAACGUAUAUGUAUUACAAAUUCCGUAGACGGUCGACGGUUAAGCACAGUGGCGGACGUGGGAUUUUGUUUUUUAGAGUCGGUUCAAAAUUGUUAAUAUCGAUUUUGAACAGUGUACACUAAAUAUAAAACCCAGAUAAGAUUACGAUCAAGUAUCAACAUUAUCGACUAUCGUAAUAAUAUCGGUCUAACCGCAAUUUGAACGACGAUUCAUAAUCGUUAUUAACUCGUGUUAUUACAAACUACUACAAAUAUAAUAUAACCGCUAAGGGAGGGGAGUGGUCCUUGUCGCCCCCCCCUUAAAUCAGCCACUGGUUUUGCAGUGGCGCCCUUUCUGAAACGGCCGUCCGACCGGUACAAUUUUGUGUUUUCACGUAAACAGAGCAACGUCGAUACGGUUUUAAAGGACGUUACAAAUGUCGAAAAAAAGAACGAUUAUCGAACCAUGCCUUUAUUGUUUUCGGAGCUUCUCGUUCCGCGUACCGCCCCCUCGCCCGCCAUAAUGAUGCACGAUAGAAAAUAGCCCCCCCCCACUUAAGAGCCGCGAUGUAACCCGUGUAGUAUGUGUGACCGGC
Cinara cedri is the source of this 821-nucleotide non-coding RNA. The record is from the annotation of a GenBank genome assembly. Lineage: Eukaryota; Metazoa; Arthropoda; Insecta; Hemiptera; Aphididae.